AUACGGAGGUGGCAAGCGUUACUCGGAAUCAUUGGGUGUAAAGGGCAAGUAGGCGGCUUGUUAAGUGAGGGGUGAAAUCUUCUGACUCAAUCGGAAAAUUGCCUUUCAAACUAGCAGGCUUGAGGCUGGAAGGGGGAUAUGGAAUUCGCGGUGUAAGGGUGAAAUCUGUAGAUAUCGCGAAGAACACCGGCGGCGAAGGCGGUAUCCUGGUCCAGUUCUGACGCUAAAUUGCGAAAGCUAGGGGAGCAAACAGAAUUAGAUACCCCGGUAGUCC
RNAcentral lists this ribosomal RNA (274 nucleotides) under uncultured bacterium. RNAcentral's name for it is "partial 16S ribosomal RNA". It matches the Rfam family "Bacterial small subunit ribosomal RNA", at positions 523 to 796 of the family's 1533-position model. The record is from RNAcentral.